This 298-nucleotide unclassified non-coding RNA is filed under the name Hevea brasiliensis (rubber tree). Lineage: Eukaryota; Viridiplantae; Streptophyta; Magnoliopsida; Malpighiales; Euphorbiaceae. The record is from RNAcentral.
GACUACACCAAAUUUAGUUUAGUAUUUCCCUCAUGAAAUACUGUUAAGAGAAUUAUUUCUUCAAUUAAUUUGGGAUGUUAUAUCAAAAUUAAAGGCUAAUGGUUAAAAAGUUUUCAAAUUUUUACUACCAUUAGAUAAUGUGAUUCAGACCAGUUUUCUUAUUGCCAAUUCAUCAUGAUUUUAUAGUCCAAAUUCAGUGAAAAUAUUUGUGUUUUCAGUUAUUGUAAUUGCCCCUGCAUAAUAUAUUCUUAACAUGUUUAAUUUCUUGUUUUCAGGUGCUUCUGGGGGACAUGGGAAC